Molecule: long non-coding RNA, 1349 nt
Filed under: Piliocolobus tephrosceles (Ugandan red Colobus)
Lineage: Eukaryota; Metazoa; Chordata; Mammalia; Primates; Cercopithecidae
Description: lncRNA (ENSPTEG00000009559.1)
Source: RNAcentral
GGCCUCGGGUCCGUGAGCCACGCCAUCCGGGGGGGACGGCGAGUGCGGGCAGAGCGGGCCUGGGGUCCGUUGGGGGCCAGGCGAGCUGUCCGUUUUCCUAUUCACUUUCCCAGCCGGGUAUCCAGCGAGCACGGAAGGCAGGCACCCAGGCGAAAGGCGCCGCCCAGGAUCCGGCUGGACAGCAGGAUCGAGAGCGGCGCGGCGAGCGCUGCCCGGGGUUCGGGACCGAGAGGGCAGGCGAGCGAGGGGCAACCCCGACCCGGCCCCCCGAGCUCCCGUGUCCGACCCCGCGCGGGGGCCACGCGACGGCCGCCCCCUUGCCCAGAACUGGCACGGGCGGGCGGACCGACCCGGGGCCACUCCACAACUUGCCGGCCCGCCGCCCCGGCCCCCAGCGAGAACCCGGGGAGACUCGAACCAGGCAGCAGAGGCAGGAUUUGCCCGGAAACGCGCCCUCCCCGCCGCCCCGUGCGCGCCCGCGGCCGGCCGCGCUGCCCCCGCCGCCCCGACGCCCCCGCGGCCCUGCCAGCCAAGCCAGCGCCGACGCGGGCCGCGCUACGGGGCCGUUUCCGGCAGCGCCGGCGGCCGCUACUCUGGGCGCCCUGGCCGCGGCCGUCACUCACCCCAGGCCGCCGCGGCUCCCAGCCUCCGGCUCCGUCAGGCUCGGUCCGCGAAGGCGCCUGCCGCCCCGUCCUGGCCCGGCACCCCGGCGAGCUCUUCCCUCCGACCAGCGGCGCUCCCGGCGCAGCGGCGGACGCGAGGCCACGGGUGGACGGGCGCGCGCGGGUGGCGGGCGGGCGUGGGGCCGGAUCGUCCCUGCGCCUCGCCGCCGCCUCCUCCGCCGCGGCCUCCCGAGUUCGGGGCUCUGCUGCAAUGUCUGCGAGGCUGACUUUGAGCGCCUCGCUCGCCGCCCGCCCGCCCGCAGCCGCGCUCCUCCCUCCGCCGCCGAGUCCGCCGCGGCCCAGUCCCUCCCCUCGCCGCCCCACGCCAUUCAGCUCUUCAGCCAAGUUUCUUAACCCUUUUCUCCCCCUCCCUCCCAUUGUCAGCCGGUCAGGAGGAAGCCGUGCGGGUCCGGGCCGCUCGCGGGAGCUGCGGAGCCCCCUAUGGUUUUGAACCACGGAGAUUGCCCAGCAAGCCAAGAAUUUUCCAGCCCUCCAACACUGGUGUUAAAAAGUCCACUGCUAUAUGCUAGAUGACUUCCCAAAGCUGUUCACUUAUUAUUAUUCUGUUUUCUCAACCCCACAAAAAUCCAGUCACUGAAAUCCUGAACUCUUUUGAUAGUGGCAUGAGUGUUAAGUAAAUUGCACACCUCUUGUGGAAUUCAUUUUCACUUAAUCAUGCCAAUUAUG